This 433-nucleotide ribosomal RNA is filed under the name uncultured bacterium. RNAcentral's name for it is "partial 16S ribosomal RNA". It matches the Rfam family "Bacterial small subunit ribosomal RNA", at positions 29 to 507 of the family's 1533-position model. The record is from RNAcentral.
AACGAACGCUGGCGGCAUGCCUAACACAUGCAAGUCGAACGAGACCUUCGGGUCUAGUGGCGCACGGGUGCGUAAAGCGUGGGAACCUGCCCUUAGGUUCGGAAUCACUCCCCGAAAGGGGUGCUAAUACCGGAUAAUGUCUUCGGACCAAAGAUUUAGCGCCUUUGGAUGGGCCCGCGUUGGUUUAGCUAGUUGGUAGGGUAAAAGCCUACCAAGGCGAAGAUCCAUAGCUGGUCUGAGAGGAUAAUCAGACACACUGGGACUGAGACACGGCCCAGACUCCUACGGGAGGGAGCAGUGGGGAAUAUUGGACAAGGGGCGAGAGCCUGAUCCAGCAAUGGCGCGUGAGUGAUGAAGGCCUUAGGGUUGUAAAGCUCUUUUACCCGGGAUGAUAAUGACAGUACCGGGAGAAUAAGCUCCGGCUAACUCCGUG